This 413-nucleotide ribosomal RNA is filed under the name uncultured bacterium. RNAcentral describes it as "bacterial SSU rRNA". It matches the Rfam family "Bacterial small subunit ribosomal RNA", at positions 539 to 952 of the family's 1533-position model. The record is from RNAcentral.
CGUUGUCCGGAUUAUUGGGCGUAAAGCGCGCGCAGGCGGAUUGGUCAGUCUGUCUUAAAAGUUCGGGGCUUAACCCCGUGAUGGGAUGGAAACUGCCAAUCUAGAGUAUCGGAGAGGAAAGUGGAAUUCCUAGUGUAGCGGUGAAAUGCGUAGAUAUUAGGAAGAACACCAGUGGCGAAGGCGACUUUCUGGACGAAAACUGACGCUGAGGCGCGAAAGCCAGGGGAGCGAACGGGAUUAGAUACCCCGGUAGUCCUGGCCGUAAACGAUGGGUACUAGGUGUAGGAGGUAUCGACCCCUUCUGUGCCGGAGUUAACGCAAUAAGUACCCCGCCUGGGGAGUACGACCGCAAGGUUGAAACUCAAAGGAAUUGACGGGGGCCCGCACAAGCGGUGGAGUAUGUGGUUUAAUUC